Sebastes umbrosus (honeycomb rockfish) is the source of this 280-nucleotide long non-coding RNA. RefSeq lists it as uncharacterized. NCBI's taxonomy places the organism in Eukaryota, Metazoa, Chordata, Actinopteri, Perciformes, Sebastidae. The transcript is spliced from 2 exons. The record is from RefSeq and is a predicted model, not a curated record.
AAAAAAGACUUCACUUGUUAUUUGGAAGGUAGGGAUUCAGUUUGUUGCUUAAAGACACUUAAACUGGAUUUACAAUUGACUCAAGGGACAACAGUCCUGCAGUAGAUAUUUACAGUGAAGGUUUUCUUUGCUCCGUGAGUCUUUCUUCAACGUGGGUAAUGUUCUUUCACUACCAGAUAGACGAAAUAGAAAUGUUCUGAUAUCAUUUUUUCCCUUCCCGAUACCGAUUCCGAUACCUGAACUUGCAUCAGAGUACUGAUCCAAUACCAGCGUUAUAAAA